RNAcentral lists this unclassified non-coding RNA (341 nucleotides) under Hevea brasiliensis (rubber tree). Lineage: Eukaryota; Viridiplantae; Streptophyta; Magnoliopsida; Malpighiales; Euphorbiaceae. The record is from RNAcentral.
AAACAAUCACACCAUCAUGAACUCCUUGGUCGUUCUCGCCAUCUUGGCCACCGCUGCCUGCGCAUCCGCCUCUCACCUUGGUCUCGGUCUGGGAUGGGGUGCAGGUCAUUUGGGUGGUUGGGGAGUCGGACACGGUGGACACUACUUCCACGGUGAUCACGGACCAUCAGGUGUGACCUCUGGAGCUGGAGCUGCAGGACCCUCUGGAGUAGUUACCGGACAUGGAGCCGCUGGACCCAGUGGUGUAGUCAACGGACACGGUGCCGUAGGACCAACUGGACCAAAUGGUCAUGGCGCCGCUGUCAUCGCCGUACCUGCUAUCGCUGUUGGACAUGGUCUCG